RNAcentral lists this ribosomal RNA (625 nucleotides) under uncultured Aminomonas sp. RNAcentral's name for it is "bacterial SSU rRNA". It matches the Rfam family "Bacterial small subunit ribosomal RNA", at positions 1 to 600 of the family's 1533-position model. The record is from RNAcentral. Lineage: Bacteria; Thermotogati; Synergistota; Synergistia; Synergistales; Synergistaceae.
UACUAUCCCGCCGNUUACGCGGGGAAUCGAUUAGAGUCUGAUCCUGUUUCANGACGAACGCUGGCGGCGUGCUUAACACAUGCAAGUCGAACGGACUGUUAGUGAAAGCUUGCUGGAUCUAACAGUUAGUGGCGGACGGGUGAGUAACACGUGAGAACCUAUCCCGACCCGGGGGACAACAGGUGGAAACGCCUGCUAAUACCCCAUAGGCGCAGAGUAUGCUGUGCAAAGGAGCAAUCCGGUGCGAUGUGGAGUGUGUGCUCUGCGAGACCUAUCAGCUAUGUAGCGUGGGGUAACGGCCCACCUAGGCGAUUGACGUGUGUAGCCGGCCUGAUGAGGGCGCACGGCACACUGGAACUGAGACCACGGUCCANACUCCUACGGGAGGCAGCAGUGGAGGAAUCUUGGGCAAUGGGGGCAACCUGACCCAGCGACAGCCGCGUGAUGUUGACUGAAAUUCCUUGGGAUGUAAACCUCUGUUUGUAGCGGUACGAAGGACGUGACGGUACCGCACGAGGAAGCCCCGNCAACUACGUGCCAACAGCCGCGGUAAUACAGUACGGGGGCGAGCGUUGUCCGUGANUUACUGGUGCGGUUNANGCGCAACGCAGGNCGCGGGUUUGUA